GCUGGUGCAAACGUAGGAGGGUGGGUGGGUGUGCGUGUGUGCGCAUGCACGUGGGGAACUGCAGGAAUAAAGGUGGAGGAAAAGCCAGGAAAACAAACAAAUGGAUCACAGAAUGAAUCAAUCUAGAAUUUUCACUCCAGGCACGGAGGACCAGGCUCAAACUAUCAUACUUGGACAUAUUAUGCGAAGACCCAGCUCCCUUGAGAAGUCCAUAAUGCUGGGGAAAGUGGAAGGAAAGAGAAGAAGAGGACAAGACCAGCAGCAGGGUGGAUGGACUUGAUUACGACAGCAAUGAAUGCACCACCGAGAGACCUAAAAGGCCAAGUUGAAGAAGAAAGAUCAUCCUGGACAGAAUCCAUGUGGUCACUAAGCGUCAACACCGACUUGAUGGCCCUUAAUCAAUCAAGGGAUUUUUAAAAUUUCACCUUUCCAUUCCCAUCACUGUCAUUAUUGCAGCUUUCGGAGGGAGACAGAUAUACAGUGAAAUAUCCCUAUUUUCCUAUCCAGAAGUCUUUCAGAUAUAUUAGUCACUACAAAGACAAAGAACAACGGUUUCUGCCCCAUGUCAACAUAAUUCCAAAGAAGUCUUUUGACAACAACAAGUAAGCCUCGAGACCAGGGGUUCCCAGCCUCCAGAUAUUGGUGGACCUCAGCUCCUGUCAUCCCCUAGUCACGGGAUAACAGAAGUUGGGUUAUCAACUUCUGGGGACCCAAGGAUGGGAACAACUUCUGCAGGGAUCCUGGACCAUUUGGAGACAAUGUACAAGCAUCUACUUGGUCAAGGCUGGCAUACUUUUUUAGAGUGGCUAACCAGGGCUAGUAAAGCAGCGAUGUUAAUAAUACAAAGAUAAGAGUAUUCAGGGCAAAACUAGACAAACUUGUAAUAUUGUGUGUAUGUGUGUGUUCCUUUAAAGUUACAGUUGUGGGAGGAUCCAGAUCAGGACUGUAAUGCAGUUGGGGAGGGGGCUUGAGCCCUUUGCUUCCUCUCUUUUCUGAUCUGGUUCUCAUUCUGUGUCUGUCAGUUUCACUGGAAUUAAGAUGAACUCAUCCCAACCCCGUCAGGUUGAUGACUGAUUUUGAGAUGGCCGAGGAGGCCUUCAUUGGAGCAGACCUGAACAACUUCUGUUCCUCUUUAUGCAAGGUACCUCUUUUGAAAGGGAUGAAGCUGCCAAGAAGCUGUUCUAUUUCAUGUACUACGCGAGAACAUAAAGGACUUCGAGUGCCUGGAAUAAAUGAAUUGUAUUACACAAUGGCAUUCCAGGAACAAAUUUUAGGAGGAAUAAUAAAGAUUUUAGUAGAUAUCUCCCAGCAACCGUAAAGAAAAUUGUAGCAGCUAUUCUCCCGAAUACUGCAGUCAAACAAUUCUUCCAAAUCCAUUUCAAAAACAAGGGGAUUUUUGAUUGCGAGCAGCAUUCAAAUAAAUUGCCACAAAGAAAUGGCUUCUCUUUUA
Molecule: long non-coding RNA, 1450 nt
Organism: Hemicordylus capensis (graceful crag lizard)
Lineage: Eukaryota; Metazoa; Chordata; Lepidosauria; Squamata; Cordylidae
Exons: 2
Source: RefSeq, a predicted model, not a curated record